Molecule: long non-coding RNA, 2497 nt
Organism: Meriones unguiculatus (Mongolian gerbil)
Lineage: Eukaryota; Metazoa; Chordata; Mammalia; Rodentia; Muridae
Exons: 3
Source: RefSeq, a predicted model, not a curated record
CGCGCGCCCGCUGCAGCUCCGCCGCCCGACAGCAGAGGCCUCCCUUCCAGGGCGGCGCAGGCUGAGCCCGGCGAGGUCCCCGCGCGGCCGGCUCGCUGUCCCCGGCCGCUGUCUCCCGCUGCAGGCGGCGGCGCCGGGUCUCGGAGGAGAAUGCUCUGAUAUUUAUUUGCACCUGGCCUUGGUGGAUCACUGGAAACUUGCCCAGUGCCAGUGAACUAUACCAUGACGUCACUGCAGCACACCCUCUUCUGGCAGGCUGCGCUUCUAUUUGCUGAAGAUGUUUUCACAUGAACAUCCUUCUGGUGUAAGUUCAGGCUGUUAUCAGCUCUAUUUGUUUUUUAAAUGCGUUUUAGCCACUACCAUUUCCUUAAUCUACCCAGAGAAGUGUCCACAGAGUUGAACGUUCACCUUCAAAGACAAUAUCGUGUUCUCCAUUCCAUUCUGGGGUCCCAGAGGCGCCUGCAGGUGUGACCUCCAUGCCACAUGAGGAACGAGCUCUUGCUCCAUUUUACUUGUGGACACAGAGAGCUGAAUCUUCAACUGAGAACGAGGCAGAUUAAUCCUUCCCCCUGAAAGGAAAACUAUCGAAGGCAGCAGAGUUCUGCCUGAGUAAGCCACAUGCCCAGAGCCCCAUCGGUGUUUCCUGGAUGUCUCUGUGGAAGCAGCUCUUCCGUCCUGGCCAGGGGAAGCACGUGUCAUCCUGGAUGUGUCCAUGGAAGCAGCUCUUCCGUCUGCCCAAGAGGAGCGUGUGUCAGUGAGCCGUGUGUGCUCGCCAUUGGUGUGGACCGACAUGAUCAACUGCAGAACUGUAAGGCCAGAGGGUGCGCCAGGCACAGUAAAGGCUCCAAACACAGGGCCAGGGCUCAGCAAACAUUUGGCUUGAGUUUUUCAUGGAUUUUAUCGUACACUGUCAAUUACUAUAGAGUAUUUGUGGCUCAGCUGUAUAUUCUUAUCACAAAAAUGUGGCUACUGCUCUUUUGGCUAUUUAACAGGCCUCAGACAUCUGGCAGAAACCGUUUACUUAAAUAUUUCUUCACAAGACAAACAUGCUUCCACACACACUGAAAGAAUUCCAUGAGUGUUCUUAUAAGCCAGCCUGAGUAGGAAAAGCAUUGUUCCGAGAGAAAUUUAACUGCAUUGUGGUUACCAAAUAUUUAAUAUUUUAAAGAGGAAGUUCUAAAAUUUAAUAGAUGAUUUUAUUAUUACUCUUUGAAUGUAAUUAACUAGGGCUGCACUUUAAACUGCUCUAUUCUGGUUACUGAAAUAGGUUUUAUGGUUUACAAUGGGGGAAAAAACCCUCUGUCAGACUGUGGGCCUCUCCCUUGGCGCACAUUAUUAUGGUCUCUUUAGAGACCAGCACGCCAUUUUGCUGUCAGUGGUCUUGUUCUAGUAGAGCGGGUUUAUAUAUGCAAUCCUCUUGGGAAUUGGUGUCAGAAAAAGGAUCCCCAGUUAGCAGCUGACAUAGUUCCUGCUCACAGUCAGAAGAGCGCCUCAAGCAGCAAAUGAACACAUAUUUCAUUUUUUAUGUGCUGUUAAAAUGUUAUAUCAUUAAGUCAAAAGAACAUAUUUGUCUCAUGUAGGUUGACUUUAGGAGAUAGCUCUUGCUUUCAGUAUGAACGAGGGCUUGUGGCUCAAGAGAAAACGCUCCGCAGAAGCCAGCUGGCCAGGACCUGCCUGAGAGAAUGCGGCCUGUAAGCCUCAAAUGCCAGUUUUUCCAGGGCUGUCGGCACACUCAUGGUCUGUUCUCAGAUACUUUAAGUACCGAGAGGGCUAUAGAGGAAGCUAAACGGUGUGGAGUUUAGUUUAUACUUGUAUAUAUUUUUCAAACACUCAAUUCCCAUCUAAUUGCUUUAUCAGAUCACAGAAUCCAUCCACUCAUUUAUCAGCAAAUAAAUGUUUAGCAGCAACGAAAACAUAGUAGGCACUGUUCUAGGCCCAGGCAAAAGGGUAUAAAAUACAGCAAGUGCUUGCUCCGUACGAGAGCUUGUCUGGUGAGGACGUCAGACAGACGGGAAGAUCUGAUCACAGAGAGCAUGUCCUCCACAUGAAUGCACUUGGCUGUUCUAUUACUAGGUGCCGUGCCCAUCAGCGUGAGGCCAGAAGUGCCAGUCAGCAGCUGGAUGGCACCUGGUACACAGCAAAAACUUUUUGGAUGAAUUAAUUAGUGGUGGAACUGAUGCUAUUAAAAAUGCGUGUAAUGACUGUCCUGGCUAGUUUUUAUGUCGGCUCGAUACAAACUAGAAUCAUCUGAGAGGAGAGGGUACAGCAAUGGGCUAGGGCCCCUCAUGGCAAUAACUAAGGAAAUGUCCCCAAAGUCCUGGGUUCUAUAAGACAGCAGGCUGAACAAGCCAUAGGAGCAAGCCAGGAAGUAGUGCCCUCCACGGCUUCUUCAUCAGCUCCUGCCUCCAGGUUCCUUACCCAUUUGAGUUCCUAAAUUGUCUUCCCUCCAUGGACUGUGGUUCAGGAUGUGCAAGCCAAAUAAACCCUUGCCUCCCCA